Glycine soja is the source of this 798-nucleotide long non-coding RNA. RefSeq lists it as uncharacterized. The record is from RefSeq and is a predicted model, not a curated record. The transcript is spliced from 2 exons. NCBI's taxonomy places the organism in Eukaryota, Viridiplantae, Streptophyta, Magnoliopsida, Fabales, Fabaceae.
CUAUACCAAUCAUAAUUAUGUACACAAACUAGUUUAAAAUGCGAGUCUUGCAUUGCUUAGUGGCAUCAGUUGUUGAAGACUUGAAAAUGUGAGUCACGUUUACUUUUCCAAAGAGGCACUCAUGUCAAGCCGUGGAAAAUCAUCUAUUUCUUUUUUUCAAUCACACAAAUACAAAAAUUAAUGAAUAAUACUAAGUUGAUCUCUUAAAUUAGAAAUAUCAGUUAGCUUGUGGUUAAUAUUACAAAAAGUAUCAUUUUAAUGUUUAAAAGUUAAAAAGGUUAUAAACGUUGACCACCCUAAUAAUAUUGGUUUCCGUCAGCAACCACUGCAACCCAGAACAAAGAAAAAGUAAACAAAGCAAGAAAAAGGCGUUGCAGAUCGGAGUUUCAACUGCCAGAAUCGAAGCCGUGGUUGGUGGUGGAGCAGAUCUGAGUUUCCGAUAGAAGCUGUGGUCGGUGUUGGUGCAGAUCUGAGUUUCCACUCUCAAUCCUUUCGUGCCGGUGGCGGUGCAGAUCUGAGGGUCGCUUAUGGAGGAUUUGGAAGCGCCGCGAGUCUUCUCCACCGCCGACAGAACGAGAUGGCAAAUCGUAAUGCAUGUCUAACAUGUUUCAUUUCUGUGCGAUUUGGUUGCUUUUUCCUUUCUUUUUGAAUGUGCACUUGGCCAAUCCUAAUGCAUACUAUUGGCGAAAGAAACUAUUUGCUUUUAAUUUAUUUAUCUUAAUGAAUGGGCGUUGCUGAAUGCAUCUAAAGCCUGAAAUAUCAAAUUUCAACUUCAAUGAAUUUAUGUUCUUAUCUUUC